This 468-nucleotide ribosomal RNA is filed under the name uncultured bacterium. RNAcentral's name for it is "partial 16S ribosomal RNA". It matches the Rfam family "Bacterial small subunit ribosomal RNA", at positions 28 to 507 of the family's 1533-position model. The record is from RNAcentral.
GACGAACGCUGGCGGCGUGCUUAACACAUGCAAGUCGAACGGAAAGGCCCUGCUUUUGUGGGGUGCUCGAGUGGCGAACGGGUGAGUAACACGUGAGUAACCUGCCCAUGACUUUGGGAUAACUUCAGGAAACUGGGGCUAAUACCGGAUAGGAGCUCCUGCUGCAUGGUGGGGGUUGGAAAGUUUCGGCGGUUGGGGAUGGACUCGCGGCUUAUCAGCUUGUUGGUGGGGUAGUGGCUUACCAAGGCUUUGACGGGUAGCCGGCCUGAGAGGGUGACCGGCCACAUUGGGACUGAGAUACGGCCCAGACUCCUACGGGAGGCAGCAGUGGGGAAUAUUGCACAAUGGGCGGAAGCCUGAUGCAGCAACGCCGCGUGCGGGAUGACGGCCUUCGGGUUGUAAACCGCUUUCGCCUGUGACGAAGCGUGAGUGGCGGUAAUGGGUAAAGAAGCACCGGCUAACUACGUG